AAAUUUCAUCAAAUCCCUUAUUUUUCGCACCAACAUUAUAGAUGGCCAUCAGAUUGAGAUUUCAACGAAUUCCUAUCUUACCAUUCCUCAUAUUUACUUGCAAUUUUUUUUUUGUUUCACAUCUGCUCUUCGACGAAUUAUUACGCCAUGGAUCGCAGGGAUGCGGGAUUAGGUAUAAUCCUCUCUCUUCAGGCUUGAGAUCCUUGAGCCAUGAUUAAGGUGACAUCAAGCUAGGCGGAGACGAUGACGACAUCGUCGGAAACAUUUGCAGCGGAGAUGAGGUUUGGUUGUUGGUUAGGAGAUUUGAUGAGCCACAGCAGUACAAGCCCUUUGUAGCCGGUGCAUAGUGCAAGGUGAUCUGAAGAUUGGGAGUGUUAAGAGAGAUGAAUGUGAAGUGCAUAUUUGUUAUUUAGAAUUUGCGUUGCACUUAUUAAUGUAAUUUAGUGAACACUGUACUUUUUUUUAUGAAUAAAUACUAAAAGAAUGUGAUGAAUAUGAAAAGAAAAUUGGUAGAUC
Molecule: long non-coding RNA, 516 nt
Organism: Salvia miltiorrhiza (redroot sage)
Lineage: Eukaryota; Viridiplantae; Streptophyta; Magnoliopsida; Lamiales; Lamiaceae
Exons: 2
Source: RefSeq, a predicted model, not a curated record